This 274-nucleotide ribosomal RNA is filed under the name uncultured bacterium. Its description in RNAcentral is "partial 16S ribosomal RNA". It matches the Rfam family "Bacterial small subunit ribosomal RNA", at positions 523 to 796 of the family's 1533-position model. The record is from RNAcentral.
AUACGGAGGGUGCAAGCGUUAAUCGGAAUUACUGGGCGUAAAGCGUACGUAGGCGGUUAUUUAAGUCAGAUGUGAAAGCCCCGGGCUUAACUUGGGAACUGCAUUUGAAACUGGGUAACUAGAGUUUAGUAGAGGGGAGUGGAAUUUCAGGUGUAGCGGUGAAAUGCGUAGAGAUCCGAAGGAACACCAGUGGCGAAGGCGACUCCCUGGACUAAAACUGACGCCGAGGUACGAAAGCGUGGGUAGCAAACAGGAUUAGAAACCCCAGUAGUCC